AACUGGGUGAUGGUCAGCACUUUGAAGUGGUCUCCAGGAGCUUUGAAGGCCCGGUCAGUCAGUUCAUUGGCAGGGCCUGCAAAGCUCCUCUCAAUCAAGUCCUGACUUUACCUGCCCCACAUGUGACCUCAUGUGUCAGCUUGUUUUCUGAUGCUCCAGAGGGAAGACCCAAACCAAUGGAUUCGAAUGACAAAAAUGAAAUUCUGACUAAAUAGCAGGAAGAACUUUCUGGUGGUAAGAUCUGUUCAACAGUGGAACGGACUCUUUCUGAAUGUGGUAGACUUUCCUUCCUUAGAGGUUUUCUUACAGAGGUUGGAUGGCUAGAGAUUCUUUAGCUGUGAUUCCUGCAUUACAGAGGGCUCUGCUAGAUGGACCUGCAGGCAGGGGCGUAGGAAGGGGGUGUGGGUGUGCAGUCGUCCUGGAUGUCACCCUGACAGGGGGUGACAAAAUGGUGGGCGGCACCACGGAGCCUGCAGCAUGCACAAGCCACGCGUCUCGGCGCCCGCAGUCUCCACGCUAUCCGCCCGCUGCCUGCCCCCCAGCUGUAGGGCAGCUGAGGCCCCGCUUUGCACCCCAUCCCUAUGGGCUGUCGGAAUCUCCCCUGCGACCGAGCUACUCCUCCGGUCGAGCCUUCGGAAUCUCCUCCAACGAAGAUUACUGACCUGAGCCUUUGAUAAGGCUCCAGGCACGUUCCCCAUUCAGCAGAGUAUACAGCAGCAGCGGAGGACGAGAAAUAUGCAAAGAGUUUUAUUUCUAAUUAUGCAGACAGAAAAGCAUACAUCCUCUCUCUGUGAAAGCAGAGAGGCAACUGAAACAAAGGAACAGGAAACCAGUAACAUCACAUCCGUUUUCCGUGAGACUUCCAACAGCCUGGAACAUCUGGAAUGCAAAACAGAGUCUUGUGACUCCAAGCACUGCACAGUGGCAACACACAGAAACCUAACAUGGGCGCUGUGCACCCCAUCUCAUCCCUCUGGGUGCCAUGUGCCCCAUGGUAUGUGGUGCCCAUAGGGAUGGCAUGGGACGACACAGCACAGGUGCGCACCAUCCAUAGGGACGGGGCAUGCUGCGUACCCCGUCACUAUGGAUGGUUCACCCCACCCCUGGGCACGCCACCCCAGUUGCCCGAGAGGCUUCCUCUGCCACUGCCCGCAGGGACCUCUGCAAUUCUUUGAUCAUAUGUAGCAAAGAGUUUACAAUCUAAAUUUAGGGUAUGGAUAUAGGCCUUUCUCUGCGAGAUACGUGUGGGAUUUGAAGCCAGAGCAAACUUUCUCUGAUCCUCUCCGUCUUUCCUUAUCAUUCAGAACAAUGAGAACGCCUUCCAUUCUUACAAGGCUCGCUUGGAGAAUCGUAGAAUCACAGAAGAAAGGAUAAUUCUCGCCAGCCUUGUUAAUUGGAUUACAGUUAAUUUGGUGUUGAAGUACCUUUGACAAGGAAGCAAAGGAAAUAUAAUGAGCAUGGAUUUUUAUACAGGAUCUAAGGAAGAAGGAG
Molecule: non-coding RNA, 1491 nt
Organism: Podarcis lilfordi (Lilford's wall lizard)
Lineage: Eukaryota; Metazoa; Chordata; Lepidosauria; Squamata; Lacertidae
Source: the annotation of a GenBank genome assembly